RNAcentral lists this ribosomal RNA (253 nucleotides) under uncultured bacterium. Its description in RNAcentral is "partial 16S ribosomal RNA". It matches the Rfam family "Bacterial small subunit ribosomal RNA", at positions 524 to 776 of the family's 1533-position model. The record is from RNAcentral.
UACGAAGGGGGCUAGCGUUGUUCGGAUUUACUGGGCGUAAAGCGCACGUAGGCGGAUUGUUAAGUCAGGGGUGAAAUCCUGGAGCUCAACUCCAGAACUGCCUUUGAUACUGGCAAUCUUGAGUCCGGAAGAGGUGAGUGGAGCUCCUAGUGUAGAGGUGGAAUUCGUAGAUAUUAGGAAGAACACCAGUGGCGAAGGCGGCUCACUGGUCCGGUACUGACGCUGAGGUGCGAAAGCGUGGGGAGCAAACAGG